AUUGAACGCUGGCGGCAUGCCUAACACAUGCAAGUCGAACGGCAGCACGGUCUGGUUUACCAGAUGGGUGGCGAGUGGCGAACGGGUGAGUAAAGCGUAGGAAUAUACCUUAAAGAGGGGGAUAACCUGGGGAAACUCAGGCUAAUACCGCGUAAACUCUGCGGAGCAAAGCUGGGGACCGAAAGGCCUGGCGCUUUAAGAAUAGCCUGCGUCCGAUUAGCUAGUUGGUGGGGUAAAGACUCACUAAGGCGACGAUCGGUAGCUGGUCUGAGAGGACGAACAGCCACACUGGGACUGAGGCACGGCCCAGACUCCUACGGGAGGCAGCAGUGGGGAAUAUUGGACAAUGGGGGGAACCCUGGAUCCAGCAAUGCCGCGUGUGUGAAGAAGGCCUGAGGGUUGUAAAGCACUUUCAGUGGGGAGGAGGAUUACUAGGUUAAGAGCCAGGUAAUUGGACGUUACCCACAGAAGAAGCACCGGCUAACUCCGUGCCAGCAGCCGCGGUAAAGUCGAUA
RNAcentral lists this ribosomal RNA (515 nucleotides) under uncultured bacterium. RNAcentral's name for it is "bacterial SSU rRNA". It matches the Rfam family "Bacterial small subunit ribosomal RNA", at positions 29 to 531 of the family's 1533-position model. The record is from RNAcentral.